ACAAACUGGCGGGGCCUAAUACAUGCAAGUCGAACGGGAACCUCUUAAAAGGAGGUUUUUAGUGGCGAACGGGUGAGUAACACGUAAGUAACCUGCCUUUAAGACGAGGAUAACAACCGGAAGGUUACUAAGACUGGAUAGGAAACAAAAAGGCAUCUUUUUGUUUUUAAAAGACCUUCUUACGAAGGUAUGCUUAAAGAGGGGCUUGCGCCACAUUAGUUAGUUGGUAGAGUAAAAGCUACCAAGACGAUGAUGUGUAGCUGGACUGAGAGGUUGAACAGCCACAUUGGGACUGAGACACGGCCCAAACUCCUACGGGAGGCAGCAGUAGGGAAUUUUCGGCAAUGGAGGAAACUCUGACCGAGCAACGCCGCGUGAACGAUGAAGUAUUUCGGUAUGUAAAGUUCUUUUAUUGAAGAAGAAAAAGUAGUGGAAAAACUAUAUUGACGUUAUUCAAUGAAUAAGCCCCGGCUAACUAUGUGCCAGCAGCCGCGGUAAGACAUAGGGGGCGAGCGUUAUCCGGAAUUAUUGGGCGUAAAGGGUGCGUAGGCUGUUAGAUAAGUCUAUAAUUUAAUUUCAGUGCUUAACGCUGUCUUGUUAUAGAAACUGUCUUGACUAGAGUGAGAUAGAGGCAAGCGGAAUUCCAUGUGUAGCGGUAAAAUGUGUAAAUAUAUGGAGGAACACCAGAAGCGUAGGCGGCUUGCUGGGUCUUUACUGACGCUGAGGCACGAAAGCGUGGGUAGCAAACAGGAUUAGAUACCCUGGUAGUCCACGCCGUAAACGAUGAGUACUAAGUGUCGGGGUAAAACUCGGUACUGAAGUUAACACAUUAAGUACUCCGCCUGAGUAGUACGUACGCAAGUAUGAAACUUAAAGGAAUUGACGGGACUCCGCACAAGCGGUGGAUCAUGUUGUUUAAUUCGAAGAUACACGAAAAAUCUUACCAGGUCUUGACAUACUCUGCAAAGCUAUAGAAAUAUAGUGGAGGUUAUCAGGGAUACAGGUGGUGCAUGGUUGUCGUCAGUUCGUGUCGUGAGAUGUUAGGUUAAGUCCUAAAACGAACGCAACCCUUGUCGUUAAUUGCCAGCACAUAAUGGGUGGGGACUUUAACGAGACUGCCAAUUAAACUUUGGAGGAAGGUGAGGAUUACGUCAAAUCAUCAUGCCCCUUAUGAUCUGGGCUACAAACGUGAAACAAUGGCUGGGAAAAAAAGAAACUUAAAACGCAAUUUUUACCCAUUUCCAAAAAACAGUCCCAGUUCGAAUUAAACCCNAACCCCCCNUCNGAGAGUGGGAAACCCCUUUAUUCCCAAAAACACUNNCCCGGGAA
RNAcentral lists this ribosomal RNA (1329 nucleotides) under Brinjal little leaf phytoplasma. Its description in RNAcentral is "bacterial SSU rRNA". It matches the Rfam family "Bacterial small subunit ribosomal RNA", at positions 29 to 1366 of the family's 1533-position model. The record is from RNAcentral. Lineage: Bacteria; Bacillati; Mycoplasmatota; Mollicutes; Acholeplasmatales; Acholeplasmataceae.